UACAGAGGGUGCGAGCGUUGUUCGGAAUUAUUGGGCGUAAAGCGCGAGUAGGCGGCUUGUUAAGUCGCGUGUGAAAGCUCCGGGCUCAACCCGGAAAGUGCGCGCGAAACUGGCGAGCUUGAGUGCUGGAGAGGGUGGCGGAAUUCCCGGUGUAGAGGUGAAAUUCGUAGAUAUCGGGAGGAACACCAGAGGCGAAGGCGGCCACCUGGACAGACACUGACGCUGAGAAGCGAAAGCGUGGGGAGCAAACAGG
RNAcentral lists this ribosomal RNA (253 nucleotides) under uncultured bacterium. RNAcentral describes it as "partial 16S ribosomal RNA". It matches the Rfam family "Bacterial small subunit ribosomal RNA", at positions 524 to 776 of the family's 1533-position model. The record is from RNAcentral.